CAUUUGGUCUAGUGGUAUGAUUCUCGCUUUGGGUGCGAGAGGUCCGGAGUUCGAUUCUCCGAAUGCCCCUUUUUGUGAAGGUUAAGAGUUUAAAUUUUCAACAUUUUUUUUAAAUAGAAAUAAGCUUAGUGUUCCUUAUUUAUUGUUGAAGAGUUGGCAGCUGACAAGAUUGACUUAUUAAUUGGUUAGUUAUAUACCAGCAAGCAUUAGUUUUUUAUAUUUUUAGUUUUUUAAGAUCCUGAAGCUGUCAAGUUUGAAUUAUAUACUGGUGUGCAGUACUAGUAGUUAAUUGACAACUAGCAUCAAGGGCUGCAUGUGACUGCCUUGUUGAGAUGAAUGCUGGAAUACAUGAAUUAGUGUAUUUGUGUUGGCUGAAAAACAUGUUGGUCUUAGAAGACU
Molecule: transfer RNA, 399 nt
Filed under: Medicago truncatula (barrel medic)
Lineage: Eukaryota; Viridiplantae; Streptophyta; Magnoliopsida; Fabales; Fabaceae
Description: lncRNA gene6307
Rfam family: tRNA (bases 1-69)
Source: RNAcentral